RNAcentral lists this long non-coding RNA (1076 nucleotides) under Rattus norvegicus (Norway rat). RNAcentral describes it as "long non-coding RNA NONRATT015578". Lineage: Eukaryota; Metazoa; Chordata; Mammalia; Rodentia; Muridae. The record is from RNAcentral.
AACGAAAGAAGCAAGGGGCCAGAGGCUGGAGGGUUAGCAUGGUCAAUGAGAGGUUCGAUGUUGCUACCAGUCUCUCAGGUUACUUCUGGGUCCCUAAUCGAAUUCUGGACAGUGAGGUCAGAAGAGCAUUUGCACAUUUCCAUCAGGGCCGUGGACCGCGCCUGUCCUGGCACCACCCGGGAGGCAGUGACCUUCUCCGAUGUGCAGGGUUCUAUAUAGCCAGUGACCCGAACAAAGAAGACAUCAGAGCAGUGGAGUUAAUGCUACAGGCUGGGCACUCUGAUGUUGUCUUGGUAGACACCAUGGAUGAGAUGCCUAGUCUUGCUGAUGUCCAACUUGCCCACUUGAAACUGAGGGCCCUUUGCCUGCCUGACUCAUCUGUAGCUGAAGAUAAAUGGCUCUCAGCCUUGGAAGGAACACGGUGGUUGGACUAUGUCAGGUCUUGUCUUCGAAAGGCCAGCGACAUCUCAGUACUAGUGACGUCCCGGGUCCGUUCUGUAGUGCUUCAAGCUGCUUUUGGCCCCGGAAGCCCGGACAUUGUUUGGUUUCCAGUCACUAGUGCAACGAGAGUGGGUGGCAGCUGGACACCCUUUCCUGACCAGGCUUGGGGAAACUGGGGCCAGUGAGGAGGCUCCGGUGCUCCCUCUCUUCCUUGACUGUGCCUGGCAGCUUCUCCAGCAGUUUCCAGCUGAAUUUGAAUUCUCCGAGUUUUUCCUUCUUGCUCUUCACGACAGCAUCAGGGUUCCGGACACCCUCACCUUUCUGAGAAACACUCCCUGGGAGCGCGGGAAGAAGAGUGGACAGUUCAACUCAUAUACACAAGUUUACACCCCCGAGUACUCCCAGCCCCUAGCUGGAAGCCCGGCUAAUUUACAUCUGUCCGUCUGGGACUGGGAUUUACGCUACAGCAAGGAACAGAUAUCACAGUUCCUUAAUCCUGGCUACGAUCCGGAACAUUGCCCAGACAGCGGGCUCCCUAGACAGCAGCCAAGCCUCAUGGUUCCUGGAUCCCCCAGUUCUAUGUGGCUGUUCUCCAGAGGGGCCCUGACCCCCCUGAAUCAGCUCUGUCCUUGGCA